RNAcentral lists this transfer RNA (72 nucleotides) under Zea mays. It matches the Rfam family "tRNA". From Rfam's summary of the family: Transfer RNA (tRNA) molecules are approximately 80 nucleotides in length. Their secondary structure includes four short double-helical elements and three loops (D, anti-codon, and T loops). Lineage: Eukaryota; Viridiplantae; Streptophyta; Magnoliopsida; Poales; Poaceae. The record is from Rfam by way of RNAcentral.
GCUUGUCUAGUUCAGUUGGUAGGGUGCAAGGCUUUUAACCUUGAGGUUGUGGGUUCGAGCCCAUGGUGAGCG